Molecule: long non-coding RNA, 316 nt
Filed under: Panax ginseng (ginseng)
Lineage: Eukaryota; Viridiplantae; Streptophyta; Magnoliopsida; Apiales; Araliaceae
Description: long non-coding RNA (PGIN_LNC005898)
Source: RNAcentral
UAGGAUUUUACCCAUUUCUGCUGGUGAGUAUUUUUCUUGUCUUUUUCCAUUCAUAGGUUAAGAGUGUUUACUGAUAGCAUAUGUUUUGCCAUUGUGUUGGCAAUUUUGGGCCUAUGAGAGGCUCCCAUGUUUGCGUCCUGUGAGUGUGUUAGGUUUAGAUACCUAUCCACGAGGAUGACGAUGGCACCAUUCUAUUUUGCCGGAGGUCCCUGUAUUUGAGGGAUUCACUCACUGCCAUAUGCAACUGGAGUUGCUGACGGCGGGUACCAUUACAUGGAUUCCCUAUUCAGGGGAGCAUUUGACCAUCAGAUUUGAG